RNAcentral lists this ribosomal RNA (840 nucleotides) under uncultured bacterium. RNAcentral describes it as "bacterial SSU rRNA". It matches the Rfam family "Bacterial small subunit ribosomal RNA", at positions 8 to 877 of the family's 1533-position model. The record is from RNAcentral.
AGAGUUUGAUCCUGGCUCAGGAUGAACGCUGGCGGCGUGCCUAACACAUGCAAGUCGAGCGAUUUACUUCGGUAAAGAGCGGCGGACGGGUGAGUAACGCGUGGGUAACCUGCCCUGUACACACGGAUAACAUACCGAAAGGUAUGCUAAUACGAGAUAAUAUACUUUUAUCGCAUGGUAGAAGUAUCAAAGCUCCGGCGGUACAGGAUGGACCCGCGUCUGAUUAGCUAGUUGGUAAGGUAACGGCUUACCAAGGCGACGAUCAGUAGCCGACCUGAGAGGGUGAUCGGCCACAUUGGAACUGAGACACGGUCCAAACUCCUACGGGAGGCAGCAGUGGGGAAUAUUGCACAAUGGGCGAAAGCCUGAUGCAGCAACGCCGCGUGAGCGAUGAAGGCCUUCGGGUCGUAAAGCUCUGUCCUCAAGGAAGAUAAUGACGGUACUUGAGGAGGAAGCCCCGGCUAACUACGUGCCAGCAGCCGCGGUAAUACGUAGGGGGCUAGCGUUAUCCGGAAUUACUGGGCGUAAAGGGUGCGUAGGUGGUUUCUUAAGUCAGAGGUGAAAGGCUACGGCUCAACCGUAGUAAGCCUUUGAAACUGGGAAACUUGAGUGCAGGAGAGGAGAGUGGAAUUCCUAGUGUAGCGGUGAAAUGCGUAGAUAUUAGGAGGAACACCAGUUGCGAAGGCGGCUCUCUGGACUGUAACUGACACUGAGGCACGAAAGCGUGGGGAGCAAACAGGAUUAGAUACCCUGGUAGUCCACGCCGUAAACGAUGAGUACUAGCUGUCGGAGGUUACCCCCUUCGGUGGCGCAGCUAACCCCUUAAGUACUCCCCCUGGG